ACGAACGCUGGCGGCGUGCUUAACACAUGCCAGUCGAACGGAAAGGCCCUUCGGGGUACUCGAGUGGCGAACGGGUGAGUAACACGUGGGUGAUCUGCCCUGCACUUUGGGAUAAGCCUGGGAAACUGGGUCUAAUACCGAAUAGGACCGCGCGCUUCAUGGUGUGUGGUGGAAAGCUUUUGCGGUGUGGGAUGGGCCCGCGGCCUAUCAGCUUGUUGGUGGGGUAAUGGCCUACCAAGGCGACGACGGGUAGCCGGCCUGAGAGGGUGACCGGCCACACUGGGACUGAGAUACGGCCCAGACUCCUACGGGAGGCAGCAGUGGGGAAUAUUGCACAAUGGGCGCAAGCCUGAUGCAGCGACGCCGCGUGAGGGAUGACGGCCUUCGGGUUGUAAACCUCUUUCACCAGGGACGAAGCGCAAGUGACGGUACCUGGAGAAGAAGCACCGGCCAACUACGUG
Molecule: ribosomal RNA, 461 nt
Filed under: uncultured bacterium
Lineage: Bacteria
Description: partial 16S ribosomal RNA
Rfam family: Bacterial small subunit ribosomal RNA
Source: RNAcentral